RNAcentral lists this ribosomal RNA (737 nucleotides) under Entoloma percoelestinum. RNAcentral's name for it is "eukaryotic LSU rRNA". It matches the Rfam family "Eukaryotic large subunit ribosomal RNA", at positions 75 to 800 of the family's 3401-position model. Lineage: Eukaryota; Fungi; Basidiomycota; Agaricomycetes; Agaricales; Entolomataceae. The record is from RNAcentral.
UUCCCCUAGUAACUGCGAGUGAAGCGGGAAAAGCUCAAAUUUAAAAUCUGGUAGUCUAUGGCUGCCCGAGUUGUAAUCUAGAGAAGCGUUAUCCGCGCUGGACCGUGUAUAAGUCUCCUGGAAUGGAGCGUCGUAGAGGGUGAGAAUCCCGUCUUUAACACGGACUACCAGGGCUUUGUGAUGCGCUCUCAAAGAGUCGAGUUGUUUGGGAAUGCAGCUCUAAAUGGGUGGUAAAUUCCAUCUAAAGCUAAAUAUUGGCGAGAGACCGAUAGCGAACAAGUACCGUGAGGGAAAGAUGAAAAGAACUUUGGAAAGAGAGUUAAACAGUACGUGAAAUUGUUGAAAGGGAAACGCUUGAAGUCAGUCGCGUUGGCCAGGGAUCAACCUUGCUUUUGCUGGGCGUACUUCCUGGUUAACGGGUCAGCAUCAAUUUUGACCAGUGGAAAAAGAUCAGGGGAAUGUGGCAUCUUCGGAUGUGUUAUAGCCUCUGGUCGUAUACAUUGGUUGGGAUUGAGGAACUCAGCACGCCGCAAGGCCGGGUUUUACCACGUUCGUGCUUAGGAUGCUGGCAUAAUGGCUUUAAUCGACCCGUCUUGAAACACGGACCAAGGAGUCUAACAUGCCUGCGAGUGUUUGGGUGGAAAACCCAAGCGCGUAAUGAAAGUGAAAGUUGGGAUCUCUGUCGCGGAGAGCACCGACGCCCGGACCAGACCUUCUGUGACGGAUCCGCGGUAGAG